Molecule: long non-coding RNA, 232 nt
Organism: Xyrauchen texanus (razorback sucker)
Lineage: Eukaryota; Metazoa; Chordata; Actinopteri; Cypriniformes; Catostomidae
Exons: 3
Source: RefSeq, a predicted model, not a curated record
CUAUGUAAACAAGCGGAAUAAAACUACAGCGCCUGUCUACGUAAAUGAGGAAUCUCCAAAACGGUUUGCUGUUGUAUCCUGAAUAGGUCGCAAUUUUACACAAAUUGCUGAAGUUGACCAGCACGGACUACACCACCCAGCCCCUGGCUGUCUGACGUCCUUCGUGAACAUCGGACUGAUCUCAGGGCAGCUGAGAGGAGAUGGUGUAAAUCUAAAGAUCCAGCCGAUCUAG